This 1272-nucleotide ribosomal RNA is filed under the name Virgibacillus sp. RNAcentral describes it as "bacterial SSU rRNA". It matches the Rfam family "Bacterial small subunit ribosomal RNA", at positions 173 to 1429 of the family's 1533-position model. The record is from RNAcentral. Lineage: Bacteria; Bacillati; Bacillota; Bacilli; Caryophanales; Bacillaceae.
AUAAUACGUUUUCUUGCAUAAGGAGACGUUAAAAGGCGGCGCAAGCNNNCACUUACAGAUGGGCCCGCGGCGCAUUAGCUAGUUGGUGGGGUAAAAGCCUACCAAGGCGACGAUGCGUAGCCGACCUGAGAGGGUGAUCGGCCACACUGGGACUGAGACACGGCCCAGACUCCUACGGGAGGCAGCAGUAGGGAAUCUUCCGCAAUGGACGAAAGUCUGACGGAGCAACGCCGCGUGAGUGAAGAAGGUUUUCGGAUCGUAAAACUCUGUUGUUAGGGAAGAACAAGUGCCGUUCAAAUAGGGCGGCACCUUGACGGUACCUAACCAGAAAGCCCCGGCUAACUACGUGCCAGCAGCCGCGGUAAUACGUAGGGGGCAAGCGUUGUCCGGAAUUAUUGGGCGUAAAGCGCGCGCAGGCGGUCUUUUAAGUCUGAUGUGAAAGCCCACGGCUUAACCGUGGAGGGCCAUUGGAAACUGGAGGACUUGAGUACAGAAGAGGAGAGUGGAAUUCCACGUGUAGCGGUGAAAUGCGUAGAGAUGUGGAGGAACACCAGUGGCGAAGGCGACUCUUUGGUCUGUAACUGACGCUUAGGUGCGAAAGCGUGGGUAGCGAACAGGAUUAGAUACCCUGGUAGUCCACGCCGUAAACGAUGAGUGCUAGGUGUUAAGGGGGUUUCCGCCCCUUAGUGCUGCAGUUAACGCAUUAAGCACUCCGCCUGGGGAGUACGGCCGCAAGGCUGAAACUCAAAAGAAUUGACGGGGACCCGCACAAGCGGUGGAGCAUGUGGUUUAAUUCGAAGCAACGCGAAGAACCUUACCAGGUCUUGACAUCCUCUGACGGCCCUAGAGAUAGGGAGUUCCCUUCGGGGACAGAGUGACAGGUGGUGCAUGGUUGUCGUCAGCUCGUGUCGUGAGAUGUUGGGUUAAGUCCCGCAACGAGCGCAACCCUUGAUCUUAGUUGCCAGCAUUCAGUUGGGCACUCUAAGGUGACUGCCGGUGACAAACCGGAGGAAGGUGGGGAUGACGUCAAAUCAUCAUGCCCCUUAUGACCUGGGCUACACACGUGCUACAAUGGAUGGAACAAAGGGCAGCGAAGCCGUGANNCCAAGCAAAUCNNNNAAAACCAUUCUCAGUUCGGAUUGCAGGCUGCAACUCGCCUGCAUGAAGCCGGAAUCGCUAGUAAUCGCGGAUCAGCAUGCCGCGGUGAANNNNNUCCCNNNUCUUGUACACACCGCCCGUCACACCACGAGAAGUUGGUAACACCCGAAGUCG